AACGCGUGAGAAUCUGCCUUCAGGAUGGGGACAACAGUUGGAAACGACUGCUAAUACCCAAUAUGCCCUAAGGGGUGAAAGUUAUCUCGCCUGAAGAGGAGCUCGCGUCCGAUUAGCUAGUUGGUGGGGUAAGAGCCUACCAAGGCAGCGAUCGGUAGCUGGUCUGAGAGGAUGAGCAGCCACACUGGGACUGAGACACGGCCCAGACUCCUACGGGAGGCAGCAGUGGGGAAUUUUCCGCAAUGGGCGAAAGCCUGACGGAGCAAUACCGCGUGAGGGAGGAAGGCUUUUGGGUUGUAAACCUCUUUUCUCAAGGAAGAAGCCAGUGACGGUACUUGAGGAAUCAGCAUCGGCUAACUCCGUGCCAGCAGCCGCGGUAAUACGGAGGAUGCAAGCGUUAUCCGGAAUCAUUGGGCGUAAAGCGUCCGCAGGUGGCGUAUCAAGUCUGCUGUCAAAGACUAGAGCUCAACUCUGGAAAGGCGGUGGAAACUGGUAGGCUAGAGUACGGUAGGGGUAGAGGGAAUUCCCAGUGUAGCGGUGAAAUGCGUAGAUAUUGGGAAGAACACCAGUGGCGAAGGCGCUCUACUGGGCCGUAACUGACACUCAGGGACGAAAGCUAGGGUAGCGAAAGGGAUUAGAUAC
Molecule: ribosomal RNA, 642 nt
Filed under: Xenococcus sp. SCyano35
Lineage: Bacteria; Bacillati; Cyanobacteriota; Cyanophyceae; Pleurocapsales; Xenococcaceae
Description: bacterial SSU rRNA
Rfam family: Bacterial small subunit ribosomal RNA
Source: RNAcentral